GAUGAAGAACGUAGCGAAAUGCGAUAAGUAGUGUGAAUUGCAGAAUUCAGUGAAUCAUCGAAUCUUUGAACGCACAUUGCGCCGUUUGGUAUUCCUUAGGGCAUGCCUGUUCGAGCGUCAUUUAAACCUUCAAGCUAAGCUUGGUGUUGGGUGACUGUCCGCUUCACGGCGGACUCGCCUCAAAAUUAUUGGCGGCCGGUACAUUGGCUUCGAGCGCAGCAGAAACGCGAACUCGGGCCCGUCGUAUUGGCUCCCAGAAGCUAUCUUCACAAUUUUGACCUCGGAUCAGGUAGGGAUACCCGCUGAACUUAAGCAUAUCAAUAAGCGGAGGA
This 332-nucleotide unclassified non-coding RNA is filed under the name soil metagenome. RNAcentral describes it as "partial contains 5.8S ribosomal RNA, internal transcribed spacer 2, and large subunit ribosomal RNA". The stretch from base 1 to 120 matches the Rfam family "5.8S ribosomal RNA", at positions 35 to 154 of the family's 154-position model. The record is from RNAcentral.